GGACUUACGGCGAGUGAAGAGGGAAGAGCUCAAAUUUGAAAGCUGGACCUUCGGUAUCCGCGUUGUAACCUCGGACUUUUCCGUGCGGCGCUGGACAAGUUCCUUGGAACAGGGAUCGAGGGGUAAAAUCCCGUACUUGCCAUGGAUGUACCGUGCUUUGCGUCGGCUCUAGGUCAAGUUGUUKGGGUUGCAGCUCAAAGGGGUGUAGACUCCAUCUAAGCUAAAAUCGGGGGAGACCGUGCGACGGUGCGGAGGGAAGAUGAAAGCACUUGGAAGAGGUUAAAGUACGUGAAAUUGUCGAAAGGGAAGCGCUUGAAUCAGCCAUGCCGCUCAGGACUCAGCUGGCUUUUGCUUGUUAUUUCCUGGUAGCAGUCAGCAUUGGUUUGGAUCGUCGGAGAAGAUAGCGAAGUGGCGCCCUCGGGCGUGUUAUAGCCUUCUAUUGGAUACGCGAUCUAGCCAAGGACGCAGCGCGCCUUAUGGCGGGUCUUCGGACACCUUCGCGCUUAGGAUGCUGGCGUAAGUUUAAGUGGCCCGUCUUGAACGCCA
RNAcentral lists this ribosomal RNA (546 nucleotides) under Malassezia furfur. RNAcentral's name for it is "eukaryotic LSU rRNA". It matches the Rfam family "Eukaryotic large subunit ribosomal RNA", at positions 80 to 661 of the family's 3401-position model. The record is from RNAcentral. Lineage: Eukaryota; Fungi; Basidiomycota; Malasseziomycetes; Malasseziales; Malasseziaceae.